Long non-coding RNA from Bubalus bubalis (water buffalo), 730 nucleotides. RefSeq lists it as uncharacterized. The transcript has 3 exons. NCBI's taxonomy places the organism in Eukaryota, Metazoa, Chordata, Mammalia, Artiodactyla, Bovidae. The record is from RefSeq and is a predicted model, not a curated record.
ACUCCUGAGGCUCGAUCCCGCCUUUGCUUAUGCCGAGCCUCCUUCCUCAUGACCUUUGCCACGGGCAGAGCUGCUCACGCAGGCUCCCGGCAGUCAUACGAUGAUUUUUAUAUCCUGUUUCCUUCUUUUUUUUGACUUGAAGUCUAUUUUGUCUGAUGUGAGUAUGGCUAACACUCAUUUUCUUCUGGAUGUCAUUUUCUUGGUGUAUCAUCUUCCAUUCCCUCACAUUGAGCUCAUGUUUUUCUUGACAAUUGAGGCACUCUCCAGGUUUCACACAAGAUGUCUGGAACUCAAACAGGAAUCUGCAGCCUUACCAUCCUGAGGACCUGGAGGGCAAAGUUAACACAAUCCCCUGGAUUGUGAAAUGUCAGGCCCAGGAAGCUGACUCUGAAAUGAAGGUGAGCAGGAUGGGAGCUGAAGAACUGAAUUGCAGACCCAACUGCUGCCCUAUACCAAUAAGAUCAACCAGCAGAAGAACUAUGGUGUGAUUUUAGACAUCAACAGAAAGCUUAUUAAGAAUUGACAUGAAUUUUAUAAUCCAUCAUUAUACCAAUUAAUGUAAAAAAUAUUAUACUUUAACAUUUAGUGAUACACUAGAUAUAUAAAUUUUAUAAGGAAAGAAAUAAUUGAAUCACCAUUUCAUCUCUGUUUUCUCAUUCACUAGUAUCAAGUCAUUGACCUAAUAUCUGGGGGAAAAAAUAAAGGAAAAUGUACGGUUUCACUUUUUGAA